Molecule: non-coding RNA, 189 nt
Filed under: Candidatus Omnitrophica bacterium CG1_02_49_10
Lineage: Bacteria; Pseudomonadati; Candidatus Omnitrophota
Description: 6S RNA
Rfam family: 6S / SsrS RNA
About the family: E. coli 6S RNA was the first non coding RNA to be sequenced, but its function was unknown until recently. It consists of 184 nucleotides that fold into an extended hairpin structure with a large single-stranded internal bulge. The 6S RNA specifically associates with RNA polymerase holoenzyme containing the sigma70 specificity factor.
Source: RNAcentral
AAUUCCCUGCGGUGUUCGUAGAAAGCGAUCGGUAUUGAGCCAACACCUAUUUAAAGGGAGCCUGACUUUAGCGUGCGGAUGUAUGUCCUCGGGGUUAUCGCUGAGGAAAACAGUAAGCAUCUAAGAGGGCACCCACUUUGUGAGAACGGGUUCAAAUAUCGGCGUUACUACGGCACUCGCGGGGAAUUU